AUGGCUGUAGCUCAGUGAUAGAGCUUCUACUUUGCAAGCAAAAAGUCCCUGGAUCAAUUCCUGGCAUCCUCCAGGCAUG
This is a non-coding RNA of Podarcis lilfordi (Lilford's wall lizard), 79 nucleotides long. The record is from the annotation of a GenBank genome assembly. Lineage: Eukaryota; Metazoa; Chordata; Lepidosauria; Squamata; Lacertidae.